Molecule: unclassified non-coding RNA, 4974 nt
Filed under: Leishmania donovani
Lineage: Eukaryota; Euglenozoa; Kinetoplastea; Trypanosomatida; Trypanosomatidae
Description: gene:LdHU3.29.1600(CDS-product:hypothetical_prote in_conserved)
Source: RNAcentral
AUCUCUUCUGUGUUUAUCCCCCGCCAUCCUUGCAUGGGACACUUGUCUUUCUCUCCCUCGCCCGUCACGGACGUAGUUAGUUGUUUUGUGGUAAGGGGUGGGUGGGCGAGUGGGGAGUGGAGCUGGUCACACGCAGAGGCCUCAACGAGGACGAUCGGCUACUCUUCUUGUGUCUUCUCCCGGCUCUUGUUUCGUUAAAUUUCAGCUUUGGGAUCCACUCGAGCGCGCGCGCGUGCCGCUCUCUCUAUCCUCGUCUCUGUUGAUGUCUUUGUGACUCGAAAAACGUUCCGCUACGUGUUUGCCGCCUCCCCUCUUCGAACCGUCUCUCAGGCAACUCACUAGGCAGAGACACGCGCCCAUCAAUCUCCUCGCUACCCGUAGACGAACACACACGUGCGCAUGUGCACAUAGAGGGCGCCUUUUUCACGUAAACGCACGUGCUCUGGCGCAACUCUGUCUUUCUCUCCCCCCAAACGUUGUUAGUUGCCCUCACACUAUUGCGGCUUCUCCCUUUCUAACUACGACGAUGAGCAUACACAAGGGCUUCCUAUACCCACAUCCCGCGUCCUUGACUUGCCACGCUACUUUUCGUGCGCUUGGGGGAUCGGCCUGACUUUAUUGUCGGUUCGUUCGGUUCUUGGUUGGUUGGCACUUGAGCAACGUCGCUUGCUUGUUUGUAGGUGUUUGCAGGUGUACGUGUCUGUGGCUGAGGUGUGGCCCUCUCCCCAUUUUGUUCUUUUAGGUGUUUCGAUUUCUUCCCCCGACUUUUACAUUUUCUGCCAUCCUCCUUCUUCCCCUCCCCCGUCUCCUUUCAUUCUGAUCCGCUUCAUCGGGGCCCUCAGUUGCUGGUUCGAUACGUGUCUCGCCUUUGCGCGUGCGCGUGUGUGUGUCUUCCGUCUUGUCUUUUGCCUCCUUCUCUUCGUUUUUUUUUCUCUUUCUGCUAGCCGCAGAUGCAUGAGCCUCGAGCGCCCAACGCACACACCCGCGCCGCAUCGCCGCCCCCGGCGAGUCCUCAUCCCCUUCCUCUUCUGCCAGCCGUCUUUACCGCCCAGCAGGCGGAGGAGAGUGUCGAGCUCAUUCAGCGGGAGCUCUCGCGACUUUUGCGGGCGUGCGAGUACAGGGAGCAGCACCCUUACAACGUCUUCAAGGGGAGAGGGGAUAGCAGCCGCGGUGCAGCAACGCCCCGCAGUACCGGCAGCAGCAACGGCACCUCUUCGCGGUCCGCGUCGGCGUUGGCAUCGCAUAGACGUGACCCAACGGCGUCCUUGCUGUCGGACGCAGACCCAUCGCUCCAGCUGGCCCAGCCCACCACUGCUUUCUCCUCUUUCCCACUCGGUCCUCAUGGCAGUGAUGCCGCCGAAGCAGCGUUCUUCUCCGUUGCCGGGACUAGUGCAGCGGCGAACGCCGCACCCGCGGUGGCGAAUCUCAGCGGUGCUUCUUUCUCCGCCUUCGAAAGGCGCCGUAUCGCACAUCUCCUGGGUCGUGUGGCGCUAGAGAUCGCCGCUGUCUGGACGUACGUCCGUCGAAACGAGCCGCUUUGCGGGACCUCACCAGGGGACCCCACCGCGCCAGUCUCGUCUGUCCGAACAACACACGGGACAGCGCGGCCGUCGAGUGACCGCAGCACGGCCGCCCCGGCAGCGUCGCCGCUAGCUCCGGCGUCUUUGAACGCUGACGGCGGCGAUGGGCGUGCCGCAAUGACAGUCAAAGUCACAAGCGAGGAACCUGGAGCCCCGACACCUGCGGUGCUGCAGAACUCUGUGUUGGGUGAGGCAACCGAGGAGCGGCAAGACGCAUGUGACGGCGAUCCUGUACCGCAGAUUACAGCCCUGAGUGCACUGAUUGAGGCUGCUGCUGCUAUCCAACGCGCUCUUGAGAUGGCGGAUGGCGGCGGUGGGGUUGAUCACGCUGCCUCAGCAGAACGUGCCGGUGCAGCAGCAGCAUGCAGUGUGAGCGCGAACACGCUUCUGGGGGCUGCUCAAGCAGCAGCGCUAACAUUCAGCAGUUUCCCCCUUGACGGCGUCAGGGCACCCACUCAGGAAGCUGCGGGCGUCGGUGUUGGUAAGCAGUCUUGCCGCGGCUCCGCCGUCGUUGAUACGUCUUCUGAUGUCGCGGGGGCAUCGCAAGCCCCGCCGUCAGCCCUCACCGGAGGUCGGACCUCCGCACGAGAGGCUGCUGAGCAGCACAGCGGAGAAGGCGAGUCGAAACCGCUCGCAAUGCCUAACGCUACCGUUGCGCGGCAGGCUCCCAGCGGUAGCAGCCCAGUGAAGCGGGGCAGCACUGCAUCAUCUUCCAUUCCUUCCUACCUGCGCGCCUAUGUAUUCGAGGAGGGUGCUGACGGCUGCGCUGACGAGAUGGACAACUUCGGUGAGGGGAACGGCGUUAGUGGCAACCAAGGGGCCAGGGCGGUGCUGGCGAAUGCAGACAAGAGCGUGUCUCGUUCCAUCAGUGUAGGUAGUGCCAAUGCUCGUUCCCUUUCGCGAGCCAGUGAACUGCCUGCCACCUCGCACGACGACGGCUAUAAGACACGGCCGUCCUCAGCUCGCUCUGCCGUGGAGCACCCUGCCCGAGCAAGCCACCUCAGUCCCGCGGCGACCGUCACCAGGCCAAGCUUACUGGGCUCAGCAGGUGUCUCUCUCACCGCACCAACACACGCCGGUGGCAGUGGAGGCGGGGCCACGCUAGUGGCCGCUCUCGUGGACGCCGAUCCAGUCUCCCACAGCUCGUCGCUGCGCAUUCAACGCGCCCUCUCGGCCUUGUCUUUGCAGUCCGCCUCCUUCGUGAGCUCGCCGCUGCAGGAGCCGCAGCUCAGCACGCAGCAAUCGCAGGUGUGCAGUGGUGGGAGUGCAAGCAGCCAUCCGAACGCAAGCGUCUCGCAGCGGUCACCAGACUCGGCGGAGAUGUCGUCGGCUGCGGCGGCCGCCUACUUGCGCAGCACGAGCCUGUUUCGCCGACCACACCGGCUAGAAGUCCCGGUGAGCCGGACGCAGUCACUGCGCCGCGCGACGUCGAUUUCGUCCCCGAUGUCGGUGGAAGGGAUCAGUCUCGGGUCUGCCCCUGGGGCGGUGUACUACAACGGCAUGCCGGCGAUGGCCUCCGGCGCGUGUGACAACUCCUCCGCUGCAUCGUUUCACAUGACGAAGAGCAACAGUGGUCUGCAGCUCAGCAGCGGCGGCGUUGGCAUCUUACGAACGUCGUCGGGCUUUAACAGCUUUCUUCCAGUGGCGAUGGGUGCCAGCACCACUGUGGACUCUCUACACUCGUCGGUUGCAGGGCUGCAUUUCAAGCGGGUCAUCUCAGUCGACUCUGAGGGUGAGUUGUGGCGGCAGGGCUCGCUUGCCGACUCCUUGGAGAUGAGUCCGCAAAAGGUGACGCCUCUUCUGGGGCGACCAUCGGCGUCCGCCAUGGAGGCGACUCUCUCCUCAUCCCCGCUGUCGCAAGACGCGGGACUGGCGACCGCCACAGGAAGCCACAGCGAUCGUCACGGCGCUUUGAAGUCGCCAUUGGAGGGCCAGUCUGGGGGAGUGGUGCCCGUCGCCACAUCUUUGUCGGGCCACCGCAGCUCCGCGCUGCCGCCAGGGAGGACGGAGCUCUCGCGCAACCGCAAUGCGCUAAGCCGCCGCGGCACACCGAAACCGACUGUUUCGAGUGCUUCAGCGGUGGCGGUGCCGUCUGCCGUGCUCGGCAGCUCGUCCUCUCAGCAGCGUCCAGUCGCUCUCUUGUCCCCCGUGCACUUCAGCUCGUCUCCUCAAAGACGCACUCACCGCUCUGUGGCAGUGCCUACAGUCUUCGCGCCGGCACCGGGCGCCGCUGGCGGUGGUUUAGCAGCUGACGGGCUCACGCCGUGCUUGUACCACGUAGAAGAUGAGAUCCUCAAAGAAUUUCUGCGCUGCGUGCACGACCUCACGCGGACCAGCCUCACAGAUGCCGAGUUCGACUCCCUUAAACUCUGCUACUUCCUCCCUGGUGUGUCGCUGGUGACAUCGACGGGCACAGCUCGGCCACCGUCGUCUUCGCCGCCGCCCACCGCACCGCCGUUGCCUCUGUUCGAGGGGGGUGAGCUGGUGCCUCUGCACCGCGGCAGCCUUGAUGUGUUUUGUUCUCUUAUUCGAGAGCGAUUGGUGGCGGUGUGCCGCAGUCUCCGCAUUUCUACCGCCCCUUACUUGGCACUGCUGUAAGCUAAGCUACAGCCCACAAGGAUACCUCUCUCUCUACAUAUAGAGAUGUAAGUAUGAGGCAAGAGGGGAUGGGGAGCAAAGACGCCCUCUGGCGUGGCGUGCGCUUAUCCGCGCAGAACUCGAGUAACGCCAUCAUACUUACAAGCACAUUUCCUCGACUCUACAGCUAUGCCGACUACAGUGCUCUGUAUGCGUGGCAGCUGCAAUCGCAGCAGCAAGGACACACGAGGCAUGGCGCAUACAUGCGGUUUGCGCGUCUGCGGGCCGCUUGACACUCUCUCUAUGGAUGCUCAUAUCGCACCUACCACUGCAUGUACGCCAAUGCUCUUUCAGUUCUGGCGAGGCCGCACAUUCAUUGCACCAUCUACCGCCGAGCGGGAGAGAAGAAUGGGACAGUAGCGCUGCGACAGACGGAAGCACACGGAGAGAGGAGUGUCUCUCCCUCCUCUCUCCGUCUCUGUUCAAAGUCGCUGUAGCUCCAUCGUCUCUCUCCCCUCCUCUGACUGAAGAGCAGCGCGUACGCUUUCACUUUUACAGCUGCGUCUCUGCGUACUAGUGGGUGUUUCCAUCUUUUUCAUUUCUUUUACUUCGCUGCCCGAGAGCCGCUCGUGGUCAUCAGCGGCUCGCCCUGUACCUCAGCGAGUCCUCCCUUCCCUUUUCUCGCCCACGGGCAGCUUACCCGAGCACGCACAGGAGCAGAAGGCACACGCUUCCUCAACAGCAGUGCUCUCACCCGAUGCUGCGAAGCAGACUCGUCUUUACAGCCAGCACAUGAAUCCGUUACUUACCCGCGUCG